GAUGAACGCUGGCGGCGUGCCUAAUACAUGCAAGUCGAGCGAACAGGCGAGGAGCUUGCUCCUCUGACGUUAGCGGCGGACGGGUGAGUAACACGUGGAUAACCUACCUAUAAGACUGGGAUAACUUCGGGAAACCGGAGCUAAUACCGGAUAAUAUAUUGAACCGCAUGGUUCAAUAGUGAAAGACGGUUUUGCUGUCACUUAUAGAUGGAUCCGCGCCGCAUUAGCUAGUUGGUAAGGUAACAGCUUACCUAGGCAACGAUGCGUAGCCGACCUGAGAGGGUGAUCGGCCACACUGGAACUGAGACACGGUCCAGACUCCUACGGGAGGCAGCAGUAGGGAAUCUUCCGCAAUGGGCGAAAGCCUGACGGAGCAACGCCGCGUGAGUGAUGAAGGUCUUCGGAUCGUAAAACUCUGUUAUUAGGGAAGAACAAAUGUGUAAGUAACUAUGCACGUCUUGACGGUACCUAAUCAGAAAGCCACGGCUAACUACGUG
This 497-nucleotide ribosomal RNA is filed under the name uncultured bacterium. RNAcentral describes it as "partial 16S ribosomal RNA". It matches the Rfam family "Bacterial small subunit ribosomal RNA", at positions 28 to 507 of the family's 1533-position model. The record is from RNAcentral.